RNAcentral lists this ribosomal RNA (248 nucleotides) under uncultured bacterium. RNAcentral's name for it is "partial 16S ribosomal RNA". It matches the Rfam family "Bacterial small subunit ribosomal RNA", at positions 525 to 771 of the family's 1533-position model. The record is from RNAcentral.
UCAGAGGGUGCAAGCGUUAAUCGGAAUUACUGGGCGUAAAGCGUGCGUAGGCGGUUUCGUAAGUCGGAUGUGAAAAGCCCCGGGCUCAACCUGGGAAUUGCAUUCGAGACUGCGAAGCUCGAGUGCGGAAGAGGGAAGUGGAAUUUCCGGUGUAGCGGUGAAAUGCGUAGAUAUCGGAAGGAACAUCAGUGGCGAAAGCGACUUCCUGGUCCAGCACUGACGCUCAGGCACGAAAGCGUGGGGAGCAA